RNAcentral lists this ribosomal RNA (467 nucleotides) under uncultured bacterium. Its description in RNAcentral is "bacterial SSU rRNA". It matches the Rfam family "Bacterial small subunit ribosomal RNA", at positions 336 to 795 of the family's 1533-position model. The record is from RNAcentral.
CCCCUACGGGAGGCAGCAGUGGGGAAUUUUGGACAAUGGGCGCAAGCCUGAUCCAGCCAUGCCGCGUGCAGGAUGAAGGCCUUCGGGUUGUAAACUGCUUUUGUACGGAACGAAAAGACUCCUUCUAAUAAAGGGGGUUCAUGACGGUACCGUAAGAAUAAGCACCGGCUAACUACGUGCCAGCAGCCGCGGUAAUACGUAGGGUGCGAGCGUUAAUCGGAAUUACUGGGCGUAAAGCGUGCGCAGGCGGUGAUGUAAGACAGAUGUGAAAUCCCCGGGCUCAACCUGGGAACUGCAUUUGUGACUGCAUCGCUGGAGUGCGGCAGAGGGGGAUGGAAUUCCGCGUGUAGCAGUGAAAUGCGUAGAUAUGCGGAGGAACACCGAUGGCGAAGGCAAUCCCCUGGGCCUGCACUGACGCUCAUGCACGAAAGCGUGGGGAGCAAACAGGAUUAGAUACCCUGGUAGUC